RNAcentral lists this ribosomal RNA (210 nucleotides) under uncultured bacterium. Its description in RNAcentral is "partial 16S ribosomal RNA". It matches the Rfam family "Bacterial small subunit ribosomal RNA", at positions 524 to 732 of the family's 1533-position model. The record is from RNAcentral.
GACAGAGGGUGCAAACGUUGCUCGGAUUUACUGGGCGUAAAGCGCAAGUAGGCGGUCUUGUAAGUCGGGUGUGAAAACCCGGGGCUCAACCCCGGCAGUGCACACGAUACUGCGAGACUGGGGUACUGAAGAGGAGAGCGGAAUUCUCGGUGUAGAGGUGAAAUUCGUAGAUAUCGGGAGGAACACCAGUGGCGAAGGCGGCUACUCUGG